GGGGUGCUUACCAUGCAGUCGAACGAUGAACCGCUUUCGGGCGGGGAUUAGUGGCGAACGGGUGAGUAACACGUGGGCAAUCUGCCCUGCACUCUGGGACAAGCCCUGGAAACGGGGUCUAAUACCGGAUAUGACUGUCCAUCGCAUGGUGGAUGGUGUAAAGCUCCGGCGGUGCAGGAUGAGCCCGCGGCCUAUCAGCUUGUUGGUGAGGUAGUGGCUCACCAAGGCGACGACGGGUAGCCGGCCUGAGAGGGCGACCGGCCACACUGGGACUGAGACACGGCCCAGACUCCUACGGGAGGCAGCAGUGGGGAAUAUUGCACAAUGGGCGAAAGCCUGAUGCAGCGACGCCGCGUGAGGGAUGACGGCCUUCGGGUUGUAAACCUCUUUCAGCAGGGAAGAAGCGAAAGUGACGGUACCUGCAGAAGAAGCGCCGGCUAACUACGUGCCAGCAGCCGCGGUAAUACGUAGGGCGCAAGCGUUGUCCGGAAUUAUUGGGCGUAAAGAGCUCGUAGGCGGCUUGUCACGUCGGUUGUGAAAGCCCGGGGCUUAACCCCGGGUCUGCAGUCGAUACGGGCAGGCUAGAGUUCGGUAGGGGAGAUCGGAAUUCCUGGUGUAGCGGUGAAAUGCGCAGAUAUCAGGAGGAACACCGGUGGCGAAGGCGGAUCUCUGGGCCGAUACUGACGCUGAGGAGCGAAAGCGUGGGGA
RNAcentral lists this ribosomal RNA (708 nucleotides) under Streptomyces sampsonii. RNAcentral's name for it is "bacterial SSU rRNA". It matches the Rfam family "Bacterial small subunit ribosomal RNA", at positions 41 to 767 of the family's 1533-position model. The record is from RNAcentral. Lineage: Bacteria; Bacillati; Actinomycetota; Actinomycetes; Kitasatosporales; Streptomycetaceae.